AACGAACGCUGGCAGCAUGCCUAACACAUGCAAGUCGAACGAGACCUUCGGGUCUAGUGGCGCACGGGUGCGUAACGCGUGGGAACCUGCCCUUAGGUUCGGAAUAACUCCCCGAAAGGGGUGCUAAUACCGGAUAAUGUCUUCGGACCAAAGAUUUAUCGCCUUUGGAUGGGCCCGCGUUGGAUUAGCUAGUUGGUAGGGUAAAAGCCUACCAAGGCGACGAUCCAUAGCUGGUCUGAGAGGAUGAUCAGCCACACUGGGACUGAGACACGGCCCAGACUCCUACGGGAGGCAGCAGUGGGGAAUAUUGGACAAUGGGCGAAAGCCUGAUCUAGCAAUGCCGCGUGAGUGAUGAAGGCCUUAGGGUUGUAAAGCUCUUUUACCCGGGAUGAUAAUGACAGUACCGGGAGAAUAAGCUCCGGCUAACUCCGUG
Molecule: ribosomal RNA, 433 nt
Filed under: uncultured bacterium
Lineage: Bacteria
Description: partial 16S ribosomal RNA
Rfam family: Bacterial small subunit ribosomal RNA
Source: RNAcentral